CAAAUAUUUUAAAAGUGAACUUCUGUGGUGGACCCUGACCAUUUUGACACAAUCCUAAAUAUGCACUUAUGCACAGGAUUGCAUUUAAGAAUCUCCUGGCCAUAUCUUCAGUUGUUACGGCAGCAACAUUCUGUGUAACAGGCUUGAAGACUUGUAUGCAUGCAUGACCAUCACAAACUAUCACAUUACAAUCCGUGAGUGAGACAAAUUUGUCAAAGGCUGAAAGUCCUUCAAGGUAUGGCAUCAUAUCAGCUUUCCCCGAUGAAUGCAUCUUCCCGUGUACAGUAAACAUAAUGAACAGAACUGGUACGUUUUCAUAGAACAUGAUUCUUACUAGUGGUACCUUUCAUCGUGCAUUCGCUACAAGGAGAUGAAGGCAGGCAUAUGUGUUGUAGAAGAAGAGGAACAUUAACAAGACAACAGUGUUAGUGUCAUCGAGUUAACUCAGUGACUACACGAUGUUGCAGUUAACCAAAAAGUUACAAGAGGGGAUAUCUCUUGUAAAUGCCACAGAUAUCAGCAAAGUCAAUGGAGUGAUGGGACGUGUUUGUGUUGCCCUCAGCUCUGGACGCUCACAGGUGUUUACUGAAGAAGAAGAGGAGAAACUUAGUGUAUCGCUGGGUCACACCCGGGACCAGACCAGGCAGCUCAUCCACACUAUCCUGCACAUCAUUCAGCAAGCUGCACAUGGAGUAAACGUCCAGCUGUCCUAGGGGAACACGCUGCUGGCAUUACUCAUGAUAGAGUUGAGAUCUUCACUGAACAUUGGACAACAAAUGCCAAGCCCAUUGUUGAUAAGCUUCGACAGCAGAGCCUUUCAGAAAAACAGCUCGAAGAUGUUGGAGAACUGCACCUUCAGACAGCUUCCUCAUGUAUGGCUCGGCAGUCACACCCUAUAGCUCACCUGCAGCUUAAUCUGAGCUCUCGUAGUGAUGCAGGAAAACUAGCAAGCACAGAGAAAGUGGUGAUGCAGUUUGAUCGUGACCAGCUGUACAACCUUUAUGAUCAGCUGGAGCAAAUACAGUCACACCUCGAUGCUCUAAGAUAAAGUAGAGGAAUUUAAUGGUUUAAUAUUUAUGUUUGGCUACAAAUUAUAUUGCAGCCUCAUGUAUUUUAAAUGUACAAUUUAAGUGUGGUAACCA
This is a long non-coding RNA of Homarus americanus (American lobster), 1142 nucleotides long. RefSeq lists it as uncharacterized. The record is from RefSeq and is a predicted model, not a curated record. Lineage: Eukaryota; Metazoa; Arthropoda; Malacostraca; Decapoda; Nephropidae. The transcript is spliced from 7 exons.